Molecule: small RNA, 119 nt
Filed under: Salmonella enterica subsp. enterica serovar Typhi
Lineage: Bacteria; Pseudomonadati; Pseudomonadota; Gammaproteobacteria; Enterobacterales; Enterobacteriaceae
Description: StyR-234
Source: RNAcentral
AUCAUCGGCACAGCCAGUAAGAACGAGAACUCGGAGGCGGCGUAACGGCUGACGCCCAUCAGCAUCCCACCGGAAAUGGUCGCUCCGGAACGCGAGAAGCCCGGCCACAGCGCCAGACA